GCAUAGAGAACCACUAGAAAAAAAUUGCAAUAUGUGAUUAUUAUACAUUAAAGUGAUUACUUAAAAAAUGUUUCCUGUCUGAAAAGUUUACUUAGAACUAAAUAGUAAUGGUGACAGUAUUGCAUAUAAUUUUUAUAGGUUAUCAUUUCAGUAAUUAUACUUUUUUAAAAUAAAAUAAUUCAAACAAGAUUUUCCAAGUAUUAUUUCUGGGUCUCAUAAUUAAAAAAUGUCAUAAUGGAUUUAAAUAACUUGACAUUUCUGCUUUGCAAAAAACAGAUUUAAACAUCAGGCCAUAUCCAGGUGAUAAAAAUCUUCUCCUCUUCAUAUUUAUUCUUCAUCUAAGUUAUCAUUUGAAUUUGUGCUAGUUAAAUAUUUUCUGAGAAGAAUAUUGCAUACACUAAAACGAAUCUUCUAAGCCAAACUAACCAGAUUAGUUACAGCUCAGGGGAGAGUUUGCAAAAUAAUAUUGCUAUUGUUGCCUUCUGCUUUGCUAUUUGCUGUUUUUAUUUUUAUAUCACUGAAAGUACAUUCCACACCAGAGCUUUAUAAAAAAUAAAAACCAUGCCUGUAGCAAAAGUACACUUUGUAUGCUUUAGCACUAAGCAAAAUAUUCUACCAAUAAAAUCUGAUGUUUGUGUUCAGCUGCUAAAAGGAUUUGGAAUUCAGAGACUGUCUUAGAAAAUGAGUGAGUCAAAUCAGGUGAACCCAAAACUUCAUCUAAAUUAAAUUCUGCCAUUUCAUCUUCACAUAUUAAUAUUUACUGACUAGUAUCUCAAACUUAAAUGAAUUUAAUCCAUAGGGUUGGUAUGCAAUUCCAGCAUUUGUCGCAUAUUAAAUUACUACACAUUUAUUACCAUAUUGAGUAUCUUAUUAAUUAAAAUGCAAUAAAAUGACUUAUUUAAAAUGCAUAACUACAUAAUUUGUUUUAUAGAU
This 933-nucleotide long non-coding RNA is filed under the name Marmota monax (woodchuck). Lineage: Eukaryota; Metazoa; Chordata; Mammalia; Rodentia; Sciuridae. The record is from RNAcentral.